This 497-nucleotide ribosomal RNA is filed under the name uncultured bacterium. RNAcentral's name for it is "partial 16S ribosomal RNA". It matches the Rfam family "Bacterial small subunit ribosomal RNA", at positions 28 to 507 of the family's 1533-position model. The record is from RNAcentral.
GACGAACGCUGGCGGCGUGCUUAACACAUGCCAGUCGAACGGUGAAGCGCCUUCCUUUUUGGCUGGUGUGGAGGAGUGGCGAACGGGUGAGUAACACGUGAGUAACCUGCCCCCUUCUUCUGGAUAACCUCAUGAAAGUGUCGCUAAUACGGGAUAUUCUGUGUCUGUCGCAUCAUGGGUCUUGGGAAGAUUUUGUUUCGGUGGGGGAUGGGCUCGCGGCGUAUCAGCUUGUUGGUGGGGGGCUGGCCUACCAAGGCGGCGACGCGUAGCCGGCCUGAGGGGAGGGUCGGCCGCACUGGAGGGGAGAAACGGCCCAGACGCCUACGGGAGGCAGCAGUGGGGAGGAUUGGAGGAUGGGGGGAAGAAUGAUCCAGCCAUGCCGCGUGGGGGAAGAAGGAGGUCGGGGGGUUGAGACCUUCUGUUGCGAGUGAAGAAGGCCUGGCUCGUAUGUGGGUGUGUUGACGGUACCUGGAUAAGAAGCGCCGGCUAACUACGUG